This 374-nucleotide ribosomal RNA is filed under the name uncultured eukaryote. Its description in RNAcentral is "partial 18S ribosomal RNA". It matches the Rfam family "Eukaryotic small subunit ribosomal RNA", at positions 592 to 976 of the family's 1831-position model. The record is from RNAcentral.
CAAGAGCGUAUGUAAAAGUUGUUGCAGUUAAAAAGCUCGUAGUUGAACCUUGGGUUUGGUUGGCCGGUCCGCUUUUUUGCGAGUACUGGAUUCAACCGAGCCUUUCCUUCUGGCUAACCAGUCGUUUCGGCGGCUGGCGAACCAGGAUUUUUACUUUGAGUAAAUUAGAGUGUUCAAAGCAGGCAUUAGCUUGAAUAUAUUAGCAUGGAAUAAUAGAAUAGGACGUUAUGGUUCUAUUUUGUUGGUUUCUAGGACCAUCGUAAUGAUUAAUAGGGACGGUCGGGGGCAUCAGUAUUCAGUUGUCAGAGGUGAAAUUCUUGGAUUUACUGAAGACUAACUACUGCGAAAGCAUUUGCCAAGGACGUUUUCAUUAA